Long non-coding RNA from Cyanistes caeruleus (blue tit), 1632 nucleotides. NCBI's taxonomy places the organism in Eukaryota, Metazoa, Chordata, Aves, Passeriformes, Paridae. The record is from Ensembl.
GGUGGUGACAGGGCCACCUGUGGGCUGGUGAGGGGUUUAAAGAGACAGUCUGCAGCUGCAACAGGAGCCCUGGCUAUUGUCUCCGCACCUGAGAGCGGGGAAACCUGCAGCCCCCGAACCACCCAUCCACCCAUCCAUCCAUCCACCCACCCAUCCAUCCACCCACCCACCGCAUCCCAUCCCGUCCGUCUCACCUCAUCCCUGCAUCCCCUGCCUCCAGCACUGCAGCUCUCCCGGGACCGGGGUGUCCCGAGCUGGGUCCCGUAUCCCUUCCCUGUAGCGGCUCCUCCAAGACCCACCCAAGGCUCAGGAUGUUGCUGUGUGCCGGAGCGACGGCUCCCUCUGGUCAAACACAGAGAGGGGAUGAAGGUGCCAGCUUCGAUCAAACCCUUGGCAUGCUUCCUGAACUGUGCCCAAGCCACAGGCAGGAAAGAAACCUCUCUCGGGCUCUGGCACGCUCUGCCUUCAUCUCAGCUCAUCUGCCACAUCUGAAAUAUGAUUUCUACCAUCUGGUGCCCAACUCUUCAUCCCCAGCAUGGCCCCAGGACCCUGGAGAGGUGAGUAGCAUCCCUGUUCAACACAAGGCUUUUACCAAAGGGGGAAAUAUCUACUGUGGGAGAACCAUCUGCUGAGGAUCCAGGGUCAGUGGGAUCACAGGAUGCCACAGCACACUUUCAAAGUUAUUUCGACUUGUCUUUCAAAGAUAUUUUGACUUUUUUUCACCUCCAUCUUUGCAUAUGGGGUAGGGAGAAAAAAUGAUAGCACUGUUCCCUUGCAUCCUGGACUGUCUGUUUUCUCAAGUCUGGUCACUUUGGAAAACUGGGGAAAGCUUUUCACUGCCUCCCCACAUGCCCUAAUUUCUUCUGUUGAGGUUUCUUUGUCAUUGUGAGGGCACAGCUAAAACUUUGCAAUCUAAAAGGGAAUGCAAACUAUACAUUCUGGAAAGGAAAGAAGGAAGAUGGAUGGGUUUGUCGUGGACAAACCAAGAGUGAUCAGACCACAGGCGGAACAGCAAUGUGUCCAGGGAGAAGCUCUCAGCCAGGCACUUGAAUCUCUCAUCAUAUAAUGCAGAGUGUGAGGCAGAAAAGCAGGCAGUGACACUGCCUCCUUAUCCACCCAGAGCUGGAGGAAAAAUGCAAACCCGUGUCCCUCACAGCAAGGCUCGAGUUUGCUCCCACUUGUGUGGUGAUAGUGAGCUCACCACCUCAUUUACAGGGAGAAAAACGGGAUGAAGAGGCCCAGGAAUAUGAAAUGAACCAUCUCCAAGAGCUGUAAUACACAGUUUCACAAAAAAACACCAGAAAAAGAGUAUAAAUUUCUACACAGAAACCUGACAGGACUCCCUAGCAAGAUAUUGUGAGACACUUGAAUGACUCUGAUUAAAGGGAGAUUAAUUAGCUGAACAGAAGGCAUGGAAGCAAGAAACGCAAAACACGGAGCAACUGAUUUAAGGAAGAGGUUUACUGGCCAGAAGAAAAACAGAAAAGAAAUAUGCAAAAAUAAGUCACAGGGUAAUCUAAAUAUUUCCUUUCUGACUGGGCUAGAGAAGCUAAUGGGUGGUGGAAAGGGAGAUCUCUGGCAUGUGAAAACACUUGUCCUGCAUCCCUGUGAGCCAGGUCGGUAGCAGGGAGA